UCCCCGAUAGUCUAGUGGUGAGGAUAUCUGCUUGUCAUUGCAUUGCAACAACUCGCAGGGGACCGGGGUUCAAUUCCCCGUCGAGGAG
Transfer RNA from Colletotrichum incanum, 88 nucleotides. It matches the Rfam family "tRNA". From Rfam's summary of the family: Transfer RNA (tRNA) molecules are approximately 80 nucleotides in length. Their secondary structure includes four short double-helical elements and three loops (D, anti-codon, and T loops). The record is from Rfam. Lineage: Eukaryota; Fungi; Ascomycota; Sordariomycetes; Glomerellales; Glomerellaceae.